Molecule: transfer RNA, 86 nt
Filed under: Candidozyma auris
Lineage: Eukaryota; Fungi; Ascomycota; Pichiomycetes; Serinales; Metschnikowiaceae
Description: [Candida] auris tRNA-Tyr
Source: RNAcentral
CAAGAGAAUUGUGGAGGCGAUGGGUACUACGGCUACAUUUUCAUCCUGGACCCUUCCUCCACGGUCGGAGCCUCGUCUUCCUCGCU